GUCCUCAUCUCGGCAACACACUGACUAAAAUUGGAAUGAUACAGAGAAGAUUAGCAUGGCCCCUGAGCAAGGAUGACACACACAUUUAUCAAACAAACCAAGGUACG
Ursus americanus (American black bear) is the source of this 107-nucleotide small nuclear RNA. The record is from Ensembl. NCBI's taxonomy places the organism in Eukaryota, Metazoa, Chordata, Mammalia, Carnivora, Ursidae.